RNAcentral lists this ribosomal RNA (407 nucleotides) under Salmonella enterica. RNAcentral's name for it is "bacterial SSU rRNA". It matches the Rfam family "Bacterial small subunit ribosomal RNA", at positions 1 to 404 of the family's 1533-position model. The record is from RNAcentral. Lineage: Bacteria; Pseudomonadati; Pseudomonadota; Gammaproteobacteria; Enterobacterales; Enterobacteriaceae.
AAAUUGAAGAGUUUGAUCAUGGCUCAGAUUGAACGCUGGCGGCAGGCCUAACACAUGCAAGUCGAACGGUAACAGGAAGCAGCUUGCUGCUUCGCUGACGAGUGGCGGACGGGUGAGUAAUGUCUGGGAAACUGCCUGAUGGAGGGGGAUAACUACUGGAAACGGUGGCUAAUACCGCAUAACGUCGCAGGACCAAAGAGGGGGACCUUCGGGCCUCUUGCCAUCAGAUGUGCCCAGAUGGGAUUAGCUUGUUGGUGAGGUAACGGCUCACCAAGGCGACGAUCCCUAGCUGGUCUGAGAGGAUGACCAGCCACACUGGAACUGAGACACGGUCCAGACUCCUACGGGAGGCAGCAGUGGGGAAUAUUGCACAAUGGGCGCAAGCCUGAUGCAGCCAUGCCGCGUGU